CAAUCUCAAAAUUGGACUAGAAGUUUAUUUGGCCAUAUUUUUAAUUAUUUCCUUUUUUUACAAGUAAUUAAACAUAUUUAUGUUUAUACAUAAGUUAUAAUAAUAAUAAUAAUAAUAGUUUAUAACAUAGGCACAGGGUCAUAAAUGUUAGUGUAAGUGAGUGUGUGUGUGUGUGUGUGUGGUGGGGCAGACAUACAGACAUUUCUAUUAAUCACAGAAUUUGGCAGAUACAUUGUGUGUUUUGAAUUAUUGACCUUGGAAGAAUGAAAGUCAAAACUGGGCCCAAUGGGAUUUGAACUCAGAAUGUAAAAGAAAAGACAGAACUAAAUACAGUAAGAAGUGUUAUUACCAUUGCUCCAGUAAUACUGCCAGUCACCGUCACCGUUCUGUAUGGAAGCAAUCCUCUGUGUGUGUGUAUGUGUGUGUGUGUGAGAGAGAGAGAGAGAGAGAGAGAGAGCAUGUGCGUAUAUGAGUGUAUGUAUGAGCGUGAUUGUGUAUAUGUGUCUGUGUUAAUGCAGAAGAGCAUGGGUGAAUAUGAGUGUUUGAGUAUGUGUGUAUGUGUGAGUGGAUUUGGUUGAUGGAAACCGAAAGAAGCCCGUCGUAUAUGUGCGUGUGUGUGAGAGAGAGCAUGUGCGUAUAUGAGUGUAUGAGCAUGUGUGUGUGUGUAUGCGUGUAUUUGUGUGUAAGAACAUGUGUAUGUAUGUGUGUAUGAACUUGUUUGUAUGUAUGUGCAUAGUGUGUGUAUCUGCAUGUGUUUGUAUGUGUAUGUACCUGCUUGUGCAUGUGUGUGCUUGAGUAUGUACAUACUUGCGUGAGUGAAUCUGCAUGCAUGUAUGCGUGUGUGAGCAUGUGCAUGAAUGUAUGCAUGCAUGCAUAUGUGUUUGUGCAUAUGUGUAUGUGUGUGUGUGUUUAUUGCUUCUUUCAUCGUUAAUGGCACAAACAUGUUUCAACAUACUGCUACAGCCUGGCCACUGAUAUUCCACUCAGAUCUUUGUUCCAAAGGAAUUUAUUACAAUCCUUUCUAUUAAUAGGCAUAAAACCUGAAAUUUGAGUGGAGGAGGUAAGUCGAUUGCAUCAACCCCAGUGCAUAACUGGUAUUCAUUUCAUCGACUCCGAAAGGAUGAAAGGCAAAGUCAAUCUCAGUGGAAUUUGAACUCAGAAUGUAAAGACACACAAAACGCUGCUAAGCAUUAUGUCCAGUGUGCUAACGGUCGUGCCAGCUUGUCACAUAUAAUAAUAAUAAUUAUUUCUGCUCUAGGCCAUGAAAAUUUUUUGGGGCAAGGGGGCUGGUCAAUUACAUCGACCUCGAAAGGAUGAAAGGCAAAGUCGACCUUGGUGGAAUUUGAACUCAGAACGUAGCAGCAGACGAAAUACCACUAAGCAUUUUGCCUGGUGUGCUAAUUAUUCUGCCGGCUCAACACCCUAAUAAUAAUAAUAAUAAUAACGAUAAUAAUAAUAAUACUUUCUACUAAAGGUACAAGGCCUGAAAAUUUGGGCUGGGGGCUAGUCGAUUAUAUUGACUCCUGUAUGUAACUGGUACUUAUUUCAAAGACCCCGAAAAGACGAAAGGCAAAGUUGACCUUGGUGGAAUUUGAACUCAGAAUGUAGCAGCAGACGAAAUACCACUUAGCAUUUUGCCUGGUGUGCUAAUGAUCCAGCCAGCUCACCACCUUCAUAAUAAUAAUAAUAAUAAUGGUUUCAAAUUUUGGCACAAGGCCAGGAAUAUUGAGGGAGGGUGUGCUAGUUGAUUACAUCGACCCUAGUACGCAACAGGUACUUAAUCUAUCGAUCCCUGAAAGGAUAAAUGGCAGUUCUUUGUUA
This 1821-nucleotide long non-coding RNA is filed under the name Octopus vulgaris (common octopus). Lineage: Eukaryota; Metazoa; Mollusca; Cephalopoda; Octopoda; Octopodidae. The record is from RNAcentral.